UAACUCAAAUAAAUCAGUUGCCUUCCUC
RNAcentral lists this non-coding RNA (28 nucleotides) under Rattus norvegicus (Norway rat). The record is from RNAcentral. Lineage: Eukaryota; Metazoa; Chordata; Mammalia; Rodentia; Muridae.